Molecule: ribosomal RNA, 253 nt
Filed under: uncultured bacterium
Lineage: Bacteria
Description: partial 16S ribosomal RNA
Rfam family: Bacterial small subunit ribosomal RNA
Source: RNAcentral
UACAGAGGUCCCAAGCGUUGUUCGGAUUCACUGGGCGUAAAGGGUGCGUAGGUGGCUUGGUAAGUUCGAUGUGAAAUCUCCGGGCUUAACCCGGAAAUGGCAUUGAAUACUAUUGAGCUGGAGGUUUGGAGGGGGGACUGGAAUUCUCGGUGUAGCAGUGAAAUGCGUAGAUAUCGAGAGGAACACCAGUGGCGAAGGCGGCUUGCCAGAACGCGCUCGACGGUGAGGGAUGAAAGCUGGGGGAGCAAACCGG